UGGGGAAUAUUGGACAAUGGGCGCAAGCCUGAUCCAGCCAUGCCGCGUGAGUGAUGAAGGCCCUAGGGUUGUAAAGCUCUUUCACCGGUGAAGAUAAUGACGGUAACCGGAGAAGAAGCCCCGGCUAACUUCGUGCCAGCAGCCGCGGAAAUACGAAGGGGGCUAGCGUUGUUCGGAUUUACUGGGCGUAAAGCGCACGUAGGCGGACUUUUAAGUCAGGGGUGAAAUCCCGGGGCUCAACCCCGGAACUGCCUUUGAUACUGGAAGUCUUGAGUAUGGUAGAGGUGAGUGGAAUUCCGAGUGUAGAGGUGAAAUUCGUAGAUAUUCGGAGGAACACCAGUGGCGAAGGCGGCUCACUGGACCAUUACUGACGCUGAGGUGCGAAAGCGUGGGGAGCAAACAGG
This 404-nucleotide ribosomal RNA is filed under the name Verrucomicrobiota bacterium. RNAcentral's name for it is "Verrucomicrobia bacterium partial 16S ribosomal RNA". It matches the Rfam family "Bacterial small subunit ribosomal RNA", at positions 355 to 776 of the family's 1533-position model. Lineage: Bacteria; Pseudomonadati; Verrucomicrobiota. The record is from RNAcentral.